RNAcentral lists this transfer RNA (72 nucleotides) under Ovis aries (sheep). It matches the Rfam family "tRNA". Rfam says of the family: Transfer RNA (tRNA) molecules are approximately 80 nucleotides in length. The record is from Rfam by way of RNAcentral. Lineage: Eukaryota; Metazoa; Chordata; Mammalia; Artiodactyla; Bovidae.
UUCCUGGUGGUCCAGUGGUUAGGACUCAGGGCUUUUACUGCUGGAGCCUGGGUUCAAUCCCUGGGCAGGGAA